GUGCCGGCAUUGGCAGCACAUGUACUAAAAUUGGAUGCAGAGAAGAUUAGUAUGGUCCUUGCACAGGAAUGACAUGGAAAUUUAUCAAAUGCAUUCCAUAGUU
This is a small nuclear RNA of Callithrix jacchus (white-tufted-ear marmoset), 103 nucleotides long. NCBI's taxonomy places the organism in Eukaryota, Metazoa, Chordata, Mammalia, Primates, Cebidae. The record is from Ensembl.